RNAcentral lists this ribosomal RNA (234 nucleotides) under uncultured bacterium. Its description in RNAcentral is "partial 16S ribosomal RNA". It matches the Rfam family "Bacterial small subunit ribosomal RNA", at positions 118 to 351 of the family's 1533-position model. The record is from RNAcentral.
UGAGUAACCUGCCCUUAACUCUGGGAUAAGCCUGGGAAACUGGGUCUAAUACCGGAUAUGACUCCUCAUCGCAUGGUGGGGGUGGAAAGCUUUUUUGUGGUUUUGGAUGGACUCGCGGCCUAUCAGCUUGUUGGUGAGGUAAUGGCUCACCAAGGCGACGACGGGUAGCCGGCCUGAGAGGGUGACCGGCCACACUAGGACUGACGACACGGCCCAGACUCCUACGGGAGGCAG